CAGUCGAGCGGACCUUUCGGGGUCAGCGGCGGACGGGUGAGUAACGCGUGGGAACGUGCCUUCCGGUUCGGAAUAACCCUGGGAAACUAGGGCUAAUACCGGAUACGCCCUUAUGGGGAAAGGUUUACUGCCGGAAGAUCGGCCCGCGUCUGAUUAGCUAGUUGGUGGGGUAACGGCCUACCAAGGCGACGAUCAGUAGCUGGUCUGAGAGGAUGAUCAGCCACACUGGGACUGAGACACGGCCCAGACUCCUACGGGAGGCAGCAGUGGGGAAUAUUGGACAAUGGGCGCAAGCCUGAUCCAGCCAUGCCGCGUGAGUGAUGAAGGCCUUAGGGUUGUAAAGCUCUUUUAUCCGGGACGAUAAUGACGGUACCGGAGGAAUAAGCCCCGGCUAACUUCGUGCCAGCAGCCGCGGUAAUACGAAGGGGGCUAGCGUUGCUCGGAAUCACUGGGCGUAAAGGGCGCGUAGGCGGCGUUUUAAGUCGGGGGUGAAAGCCUGUGGCUCAACCACAGAAUGGCCUUCGAUACUGGGACGCUUGAGUAUGGUAGAGGUUGGUG
RNAcentral lists this ribosomal RNA (558 nucleotides) under Methylobacterium sp. 25CI. RNAcentral describes it as "bacterial SSU rRNA". It matches the Rfam family "Bacterial small subunit ribosomal RNA", at positions 59 to 663 of the family's 1533-position model. Lineage: Bacteria; Pseudomonadati; Pseudomonadota; Alphaproteobacteria; Hyphomicrobiales; Methylobacteriaceae. The record is from RNAcentral.